GAGCGUCUCAUCUCCCGAGCAGAAGGAGGCAGACUGAGCUGGAAGGUGGAGGAGAGAGAGGAGAGAAAGAAAGGGGGCGUUCAUACGGGGACACCAGGCAGCCGCCUCCCCACAGCACAGAGACAUUCUUCAGCAUCUCCUCGAGUAUCCACAGAUCAUCUGAAUCCAGCUGGGAGAUACGGUCCCUCGCAGGGACUUUUGGUACCUCGGAUCAGAUUGUAUCAGCAGAGUGGACGGUGUUGGGUUAGAGCCGGCUGUAAUAAUGGUCUCAUUGGGGUUGACCCACUGAGGGAUUAUUCAUCUACCGGCCCUUCCAGCAAACAGGCAUCUCCCCUACGCCUGCUUUCACCUUCACUUCCUCCUGAAAUCUGUGUCCUGGAAACAUUGGAGAUGAGAGUGCCCCCCUGCAAAUAAACGGUCAUUACCAUGACAACAGCAGGAGGAUGCUGAUCAUGGCAACAGUGGCAGGCAGCCAGACCAACAGCCCGGUUCUACCCCAGGGGGCAAGCCAGCACAUCCACUCCAGGGUUUUAUAUCAGAGAGUGUGCUGGAGGCAACUGGGUCACCCUCAACUGGAGGACCGCUUUCAGAGAGCUUAAGGGGUACUGGAGCAAACCAACAAGCAGGCUCUCUCCCUUCUUUUAUUAGAACCAAGUCUGAGCAGUUUCCGUCACAAGCCUGGAAAUCGCAAACGAGUUGACUUCAGGUCGGAGUGAAACAGCAUGGCUCAGAAUAUCAAAUGUCCAUGAUUCAUCCCCAUUAGCAAUAAAACCGAAGUCUAAUCGGG
Molecule: long non-coding RNA, 787 nt
Organism: Girardinichthys multiradiatus
Lineage: Eukaryota; Metazoa; Chordata; Actinopteri; Cyprinodontiformes; Goodeidae
Exons: 4
Source: RefSeq, a predicted model, not a curated record